This 21-nucleotide non-coding RNA is filed under the name Caenorhabditis elegans. Lineage: Eukaryota; Metazoa; Nematoda; Chromadorea; Rhabditida; Rhabditidae. The record is from RNAcentral.
UGGCAAUAUGUACAAACAAUG